This 113-nucleotide non-coding RNA is filed under the name unclassified sequences. RNAcentral describes it as "NiCo sequence". It matches the Rfam family "NiCo (Nickel/Cobalt) riboswitch aptamer". The record is from RNAcentral.
ACAGUACAAACUGAGCAGGCGAUGGAUUUCAUGAAUGUUUAGAUGAUUGAAAUUUGUGGGGCCGGGUCACAAACCGUGGCAGCAGAUGAUGAUACAGCAUCUGUGGGACAGUA